Molecule: small RNA, 285 nt
Filed under: Arabidopsis thaliana (thale cress)
Lineage: Eukaryota; Viridiplantae; Streptophyta; Magnoliopsida; Brassicales; Brassicaceae
Description: ATSL300760
Source: RNAcentral
UUUUUUAUAUAUUAAACUUUUUAUAAGUUUAAAUAUUAAUAAUGUUUUAUAAAGUUUAAAUAUAUAUAUAAUAAUAUUUAAAAAAUAUAUUUUUUGCCUUUUAGGUAAUGACAUAAUAACUCUAAAAGCAAAGAUUUAGAAGAUUUAAAUCGUUAAUUAAAUAUUUUCAUUUCUAAAUAAUUAAUGCCAGUAGCAUGACAUUGUAAAUAAGUUCAAAUAUAGAAUUUAUUUAUUUAAACAAAAAACGUUUAGUAAGAAUAAUAUUUAUUUAAACAAAAAAACUUU